Molecule: ribosomal RNA, 453 nt
Filed under: Enterobacter hormaechei subsp. hoffmannii
Lineage: Bacteria; Pseudomonadati; Pseudomonadota; Gammaproteobacteria; Enterobacterales; Enterobacteriaceae
Description: bacterial SSU rRNA
Rfam family: Bacterial small subunit ribosomal RNA
Source: RNAcentral
AAAUUGAAGAGUUUGAUCAUGGCUCAGAUUGAACGCUGGCGGCAGGCCUAACACAUGCAAGUCGAACGGUAACAGGAAGCAGCUUGCUGCUUUGCUGACGAGUGGCGGACGGGUGAGUAAUGUCUGGGAAACUGCCUGAUGGAGGGGGAUAACUACUGGAAACGGUAGCUAAUACCGCAUAACGUCGCAAGACCAAAGAGGGGGACCUUCGGGCCUCUUGCCAUCGGAUGUGCCCAGAUGGGAUUAGCUAGUAGGUGGGGUAACGGCUCACCUAGGCGACGAUCCCUAGCUGGUCUGAGAGGAUGACCAGCCACACUGGAACUGAGACACGGUCCAGACUCCUACGGGAGGCAGCAGUGGGGAAUAUUGCACAAUGGGCGCAAGCCUGAUGCAGCCAUGCCGCGUGUAUGAAGAAGGCCUUCGGGUUGUAAAGUACUUUCAGCGGGGAGGAAG